AGUCCUUUCAGUGGGCGGUCUUCCUUUCUAGACCGAGGGGUAAUUCUGUCUUUCCGUGUCUGCUCCCAAAACGACGUCGUAGUGGCUGCAAAUAUAUUAUAUAUCCAUGCUCGCGAGAGGGCAUUAGAUGGUUCCAGAGUUCUCUUCCGUCAUUAUUAGCUGAAGGAGGAUUUGCGUCGGUGUCCAUGGUGGUUGCGAUCUCUGCCGGUUGAGCUCUUGGCUGGGGGGUUUUUGCGCUGUUUUCUCGACAGGUUCUCCGUUCCUAUUCUCUCUCUGAUUUAUCUGCCAACUGUUCGUUGUUAUUAGUUUUCCGGUGCAAAAAUGCACACGCAUGGGCGCGCACACACGCACAUACAGAAAGAGAAAGAGAGUGCUUGCUGGAUUCGUUUUUUAUUAUUGUUCUGGGUGUUUGGAUUUUGAUUUCUGGGUAUAAUUGAUCUAGAUUUCUGGACUCGGUCUGUUUUGGUGGAUUAUUAUAGAAUAGUAGAUAAAGUGUGAAAUUUUGGAAGUUGUUGGGACUUUGGACUCAGUAAUAAGGCUUCAUUGAUUCUGGGUUUAAUAGAUUUGGAUAUGGAUAUCUAUGCUCCGUAUGUUUUGGUGGAUUUGGGAGUUCUCUUAUAAAAUAAAUGUCAUUUGGCUCCCGUAGACUGCCGCAGCCGUUCUUAUCUUUGUGUAUGUGUAUAGUCGUCUUUCUCAUUUGGCAAUAUUUGCUGCUAAUAGGUGCUGUAAAGGUAUAUUUGGCAACACACUGUGAAAAUAGUAUGUAAUGUGUUUGACCUUGGUCUUCAUUACUUUGUUUUGUAUCGUAAAUGAAUGCAGUACUUUGUGGGUACAUGAUUCGUGCGUACAUGAUGGUGCUGAUGUUAUGUCCAUGGAUUUAAUUAACAUGCUAAAGCUAAUAAUAGCUCCAAUAUGCUCUCUGAUUCUGUGUUUCAUGCUUGCAUGGUUAUAGUUCUGUAGUGCUGUUAUUAUGCCGAUUCGUGGUCAGUUCAUCCGUUUGUUUUAGAAGGAUCGUGAAGGUUUUCCAAACAAUGGUCGCCACCACCUAGGCACCCACCCAGGCACUGGAGAAGGUUUAUGAUUUGGAAGGAUCACCUAAACCUAGAGUAGGAUAAUUUUGAUCUCUCCCUCACCCACAACAAUGGUUAUCCCCGUUAUCACCUGAAUCCUACUCCGCUUAGAUCAUUAUCAAGCACUACGAGAGGAUAAGGUGGAUGCGCUUGGCUUUAGACUGAUUGACUUAUACAAAGAUGGAAUUGGUGGCAAGUCUUUAGACCUAUUACUAGAGGUAGCCCCAUGCUUUCUACUCAUGACGUGUCUGUGAGUCUGGAAUAGAAUUCCGUAGAAAGAAAGAAGAAGAGGGGACCCUGCAAAUUUGAGGAGAAGAUGAAAAAGAAAGGGAAUAGAGGGCACCUCCUCAUCUACCUUUGUUUGCGCCCUAGAUUAGUAUUUCAACAAUAUAGGUGGGAUUACUUGCCAGUGUAUCUUUAUCGACGUCAAAUGUGGUAUAUUAGAUUACAGGUCAUGUGAGGAAGAUAGAAGAUCAUUUAGCAGAGCUUACACUAUUUGUGAUCUGGCUUCUCUGGUUUUUCACGUUCAGAUGUAUUGAAUUUGGGAAACGAUGUCAACUAGAUAUGCUUUUCCUAAUAAAAUUUUCUCCUAUUUGAUCUGUUCGCCGCUUUCUAUGGUUAGAUAUGGACGUCGUCCUUCUUCUUAAGUCAUUUGUUGAUUAAGCAUUGCUUAUUUAGUAUCAAAUGUUGUACAGAGAGAUUUGUUAAGACAAUUAUUGAUUUUUUGGACUGACAGCAUAUCUCAUAAGUAGGCGGGGAUGGGAAAGGGGAAAUCGACAAAUACUCGUAUGGCAUUGGCUAUUGAAAUUUCAUGCAUGGUGGAUAUUCAAGCCGUAAUGCUUGGUUUUCGAACGCUGGAAAGGAAAUCUCAAAUAGUACUAAAAAAUAGUUAGGCGCUAAAAAACUAUUGGCUGUCAAUCGACAAGGUGAUUGGCGUUAUAUUGGACAUGCUCAAGGGAUGUAUCAGUAUGUAAAAUCUUAAGGUAAAGGUAAGAACUGGUAUCAUUAAUAUGAAUAUAGUAGUAUUAUGGAUUCUGAACAUGGUAUUUUACUUUAUAAAUUUACAAUGUCCUCUUCAAUUGAUGCUGAUAACGUGCAAUAUUUACAGUGAGUUGCCGAAAUUUCAUAACUUGUGCUAGGAGGUGUUUUGAUAGAAGCUGAGUUUUGGGCGACAAGGAAGGAUGUACAGUAUGAAUCCCUUGAAUCAUUGUGUUAUCUGAAGCAUUUUGCUUCGAGGUAAAUGUGAACAGUCUGCAUUAAAACAUUGUGUCACAGUGUCAGUUCUAGCAUAGUGCAACUAAUAGAAGUGCAUCAAAUGUUUAUUCUCAGAAGCGAGUCCCCUUGGAAGUUGGAAGGUGAAGCCUCAGGUGUAUCCUCUAAACUGAAGUUACUUGAGCAGGAACUGCUGAAUUUGGAAAGAAUUGGGAAAAGUGAUCUAUCCAAGGUAUCGUCAAAGAUGCAGAAGCAAACAAGGAGAUAUCAAGCUCUUGCGGGGAAGAUCGAUAACUUAUGUAGAAGAAUGGUAAUGCAUAACAAGUUAGCAGUCUUCUUUUGCAGCUUUGUGCUUUUACAUAAAAUUUGGUUAGUCUUCUUUCACCCCCAAGCCUUUCACCCGAGUAGUUUAGUAAAUCUUUUCACUCUGUCACUGUACUGGUACAUACAAUUCACAUUUCAAUUAGCAUCGCAUCUAUUUUUUUGAACAGCUAAUUUUUUUCUUGUACGGUAAUUGUUUUCUUUGCCGGUCAAAAGAAAAUUGUUGUACAGUAAGUAGAAAUUAAUAGCAAGGAUUUUUGAAAGACGAGGAUGGCAUAUCAAUUGGUUCAUUAGAUUUUUGGGAUGUAGAAGAUUUUUAAGAAUGAUGUUGCACAUGGACCAGAGUUGUGAGGACUGGAAAUCAAACAUCCAAGUUGCAGAAAUUUGUAUUGAUCAAAAUACUUGAAACUCUAUUUUAUGCUGCUUUCAGCUGUUUUCAUUAUCAAGUAUGCGUAGUACAGGGCUGUGUGAGCAUUUAUCUUGAUAACGUGUUUGGCUUAUCAAAGGCAAAACUUAUUUUGCUGCUGUCACAAAUUGGCAAUUCAAAAAAUUUGCUAUGAUAGUGAGCCCUAUUUUCAUUAGAAUCUAUCAUUGUGGCCGAGUAAGUAAUAUAUGUUUUUGUUCUUAAGCACGUAUAGCUUGGUAAUUUUAUGGAGGCUGUAUUUCAUUUUUUGGAUUUUCUCAGGACUUUAGUUAGAUUCAUUUUUUGCCUCUUGUUCUUUGCGAGUUAAGAGCACUAUGUCGAAAGAGCAGAUUAACAUUUACCUUUCAAUGUACACACCUUAAACUUCCUCAAGCAUACAGUACAUCACAGGUACAAAAUUCACAGGCAUGAGAUUCUGCGUGCUAGCAUGUGCAGCUCACCUAGU
This is a long non-coding RNA of Rhododendron vialii, 3472 nucleotides long. RefSeq lists it as uncharacterized. The transcript is spliced from 2 exons. NCBI's taxonomy places the organism in Eukaryota, Viridiplantae, Streptophyta, Magnoliopsida, Ericales, Ericaceae. The record is from RefSeq and is a predicted model, not a curated record.